Camellia sinensis is the source of this 1287-nucleotide non-coding RNA. The record is from RefSeq and is a predicted model, not a curated record. NCBI's taxonomy places the organism in Eukaryota, Viridiplantae, Streptophyta, Magnoliopsida, Ericales, Theaceae.
ACUCUUUAAUGCAUUAAUCAUAUGGAAGACAUCAGAAGACUCUUUGACAAACUAAAUAACCCAAAGACCUUAACUAAAAAUUUAAACACAUUUGACUUGAGAACCUCCAAAGACACUUUUAAAUGAAUCCCAGACCUAGUUAAUCUCCCAAGUAGGCCCCACAUCAUCUAGCAUAUGCCAAAUUAAGGCUUGGGCUUUAGAACCGUCGGAUCCACGCCUUUUAUAGACUUUAAUUGGUUGCUGCCAUUUUCCAUCAAACACCCACAUGCACUACUAGAAAAUGAGAUUUUAGACAUGAAACUUUUUGUGACAGUUUGAAAAUCAUCGCAAAAAGUAAACUUUUGCGACGGUAAAAAAUACCGUCACGAAAGUAUUAUUUUGUGACUCCAAUUGACUGUCGCAAAAAUAAAUACUAUUAUUAGGGACAGAAAAUCCAAAACCGUGGCAAAAAAAAUAAUAUUAUACGUGACGGUACAUUACACGUUGUACAUUUUUUUCCCCCUCAUUUUGUGACUUUUUUUUGUGUGAUGCCUUUUGUUAGUCUGUCACAAAAAGUUUUAUUUUUGCUCAUUUGCGACUGUCCUUAAAAUCUUCGCAAAAACUUAAUCCCAAUUUCCAUUUCCUCUCCCCCACCCCACCCCCCUCCUUCCCACUCAUCCCCAAACUUCCAGACUCCUCUUUGGAUAAAAUAAAUAAAAAAAACUUUCUGGCUUCUCUGCCUGCCCUAAUUUCACUCUCUCUCGAGCCCAAUCCCCUCUCGCUGUCUCUCUCUCUCUCUCUCGCGCGCGCGCGCGCGCAGCAACAACAACACCGGCAUCUAGGUAACCCUCCUCUCCUCCCCUCUUCUUUCCUCUCGCUCUCACUCGCACAGACCCUCACAAUCUGUCGCUCACUCUCUCAAACCCUCACAGACUCUCUAGCAGCGGCGACUUCCCACCUCCGGCAUCCAGACUGCACAUUGGAUUUGUAGAGAGAGAGCUGAUUUGGAGAGGAGAAAUUUUGAUCUCAUACGAAGAGAAUGGAAUAGAUAUCAGUAAAAGAGAAUGAGAGAAAGAAAGUGAGGUCACUUGAUUUGUAAGGAGAACGAAGAUCGGGGGGAGAGAGACAGAGAGAGAGAGAGAGGGGGGGAUAGGUUUUCUGCUACACAGACAUAUGCUACAAAUGGUGUUUCAGAAUAUGAAGGCAGUGGGUUGAAUCUGGACAACACAGGUACAGGAGUGUAAUAGUUUAAUUCAGUGACACAUGAAGCCGAGCCAGUGCUGGAUUAUGGAGUUGCCUCUGGUCAUA